AGCUUAUCUGUACAAAUUUGAUUUAUAAUUACUCGUUAUAUUUUUCAGAAAAAUUUAGGUAUGGGAAAAAUUGUAUUUAAUGUAUAAAAUUAACGUUAGAAGGACGUUAUGAAUGCAAAUAAUUACAGACUGAUGUUUAGUAGUAAAUUUGAAAAAGAACGGUCAACAGUAACAAUUUUCCGAUUUCGUUUAAGGACACUAAUGUCUCCAAUCGAUCCAGUUCUUUACAUUCAACCUCUGUCACGAAGCGCGUGCACUAGGAUGCACCACUGAUUGCGUGACACCAUUUUCUUGUGGGAGUUCGAGUAAUUGCAUUUCGAGUUUUCGCAAAAUUUCUUAUCCCGCAGAGGCAGAUGCGACACUUGGCGACGUAAUUCGUUGCCAAUUUCGUAUAUGGCAUGCGACAUGGAAUCAGAGACGUCCAAUAGAGAGAAUUUUUUUCGCUGAUAUAUCGGCGUCGAUUUUCUAUUGAAUAUCGUGCAAAAAUCUUCCUUUCGCAUCGUUCUCUAUAUUUCAGAAACCGCAGCGAUAAAUUUGGCAAAAGCCGUAUGGAAUUUCUAGUGUGGUCUGCGUCUAGUAUAAAAGAUCGCAGUAGAGAAUCAGGUAGAAUAGAAUGACGUCACUAAGAUUGAAGAGUGUAUCACCCAGAGACUUUUACGUAACACUCGCUAUAUGUCGCCGUGAUAAAUAACACUUGAGGCUUUGGUGGCGAGCCAUGUGGAAAUAAAGCCAUUUAACAGAGAACUGCUGCUGGAUUCAGUCGGAGAGAUACUCUUGAAGAUCCGACCAGAUUUUAUGACAGACUAGGCGUCAGUUUGGCUCUGGGUUUUUGAUGAUCGGGUACCGGCAUUUGUUCAAAUAUCCCUAAGAAUUCAACCUUCUACACCAAUCUUUGCUCCUUUUUUUCGCUUCGUUCCUAUCCGAUCAAAAGAAUAUUUUUUUUUUGUUCAAUCGUAGUUGAUUGACGUUUUUCAGCAGAUUACCUGCUGUUCCCAAAACACCAUUUUGCAUCAAACUACUUAUGAAAUGUUGUGAAGUCUAAAGUCGUCUGCGAGUGAGAACAGAUGAGCUUGUGUUAGAUAGAAAGAAUUGAAAAGAUUUUACCAUUUCCUGUUAGAGUAAACAACACUUUUUCGAUAACACAACGCCGGUCGAAAUGGCAGUGUAGUCGUCUACUAUGUGAAAGGUCUAAAUACUUUAUUGGCACGUAUCCUGCAAUCUCUUUCCUCUCCUCCCGCGAGAACAGUCUUGAACUCAAAAGUCGCUAUAGAAUCGGGAAAUGCCUGUUGAAAUGUGUCGUUAUAGGAGAUGAAAACUCAUUUCUAUUUACUACAUUGCAGAGCGAAGUUAGAUUUUUCUACGCCUAGUAACUUAGAAAGUUUUUUUUAUUCUUUUCCUCUGCUUUUGUGGUUUGGGUUGCAACAGCUGUCGUGUUGUAUUUUCGUCCCCCGAAGGUUUCUCUCUCUCUCUCUCUCUCUCUUUCUCUCUCUUUACUCUUCUCUCCUGUAACAUUGCUAUUACCUUUGCUUGGGGCAUUAACGACGAAUGGAGUUUUCGUGUUAUGAAAUGUCUGCCAUUUUGCAUAAUUUCCACUUGUAUGAACUACGUCCAAUCAUUCACUAUCCCUCAUUUAUUCUUGAAAAUGUUAAAAAAAGGAAUAAAAAGAGAGAGUUUUUCUCCGAAACGGUUCGUUUGCUACCUCUUGCUCUGUUAAUGUUUUCUGUCGCUCCAUUAAUCAUUCCUUCUUAAUUCUUUAAUUGAAAAACGCUCGUAAAUGUAUUUUGCUAUAAUUCCAGUUACAAGUUUCUUUCUCUUUCCAAUGACAAAUAGUAAAAAUCAGACCGAUUAUCUAAGAAAAAAAAUCUUAACUGUGUUUAUGAACAUAUUUUAAGUAGUAGUUGGAGUUAACGAUCCAGAAAUGUAUAAGCCUAAGGUUAAUGAUUCCAAAGAAAAUUAUAAAUCAUUAGAUGUUGUUAUAAAAAUGUUUAAAAUUGUCGAAAUUUGACCAUAUGCAUCGUAAUUAUUCAACAAUAACAUUUAUUAAUAUAAAUGUUGAGAUGAAAAUAAUUUAGGGAAUAAUUAGAUUUAUUAAGAAAAAAAUUGUGUAUUUUUUUUUUUUUUUAUAGUAUUGAUCGAGAAGGACAUGCCAAUUUGUUUU
Molecule: long non-coding RNA, 2158 nt
Filed under: Androctonus crassicauda
Lineage: Eukaryota; Metazoa; Arthropoda; Arachnida; Scorpiones; Buthidae
Source: RNAcentral